RNAcentral lists this ribosomal RNA (253 nucleotides) under uncultured bacterium. RNAcentral's name for it is "partial 16S ribosomal RNA". It matches the Rfam family "Bacterial small subunit ribosomal RNA", at positions 524 to 776 of the family's 1533-position model. The record is from RNAcentral.
UACGUAGGGUGCAAGCGUUGUCCGGAAUUAUUGGGCGUAAAGAGCUCGUAGGCGGUUUGUCGAGUCUGCUGUGAAAAUCCAGGGCUUAACCCUGGACCUGCAGUGGGUACGGGCAGACUAGAGGUAUUCAGGGGAGAACGGAAUUCCUGGUGUAGCGGUGAAAUGCGCAGAUAUCAGGAGGAACACCGGUGGCGAAGGCGGUGCUCUGGGAAGGACCUGACGCUGAGGAGCGAAAGUGUGGGGAGCGAACAGG